This 221-nucleotide ribosomal RNA is filed under the name uncultured bacterium. RNAcentral's name for it is "partial 16S ribosomal RNA". It matches the Rfam family "Bacterial small subunit ribosomal RNA", at positions 15 to 228 of the family's 1533-position model. The record is from RNAcentral.
GAUCAUGGCUCAGGACGAACGCUGGCGGCGUGCCUAAUACAUGCAAGUAGAACGCUGAAGGGAGAGCUUGCUCUUCUGGAUGAGUUGCGAACGGGUGAGUAACGCGUAGGUAACCUGCCUGGUAGCGGGGGAUAACUAUUGGAAACGAUAGCUAACACCGCAUAACAUUGACUAUUGCAUGAUAGUCAAUUGAAAGGUGCAAAUGCACCACUACCAGAUGG